Molecule: ribosomal RNA, 433 nt
Filed under: uncultured bacterium
Lineage: Bacteria
Description: partial 16S ribosomal RNA
Rfam family: Bacterial small subunit ribosomal RNA
Source: RNAcentral
AACGAACGCUGGCGGCAUGCCUAACACAUGCAAGUCGAACGAGACCUUCCUGUCUAGUUGCGCACGUGUGCUGAACGCGGGGUAACCUGCCUUUAGGUUCGGAAUAACUCAGAGAAAUUUGAGCUAAUAACGGAUGAUGUCUUCCGGCCAAAGAUUUAUCGCCUUUAGGUGGGCCCUCGUUGGUUUAGGUAGUUGGGGGGGUAAAGGCAUGGCAAGGAGACGAUCCCUAGCUGGUAUGAGAGGAUGCUAAGCCACACUGGGACUGAGACACGGACCAGAACCCUACGCGAGGCAGCAGUGGGGAAUAUUGGACAAUGGACGAAAGCCUAAUCAAGCCAUGCCGCGUGAGUGAUGAAGCCCUUAGGGUUGUAAAGCUGUUUUACACGAGAUGAUAAUGACAGUAACGGGAGAAUAAGCACCGGCUAACUACGUG